GACGAACGCUGGCGGCGUGCCUAAUACAUGCAAGUCGAGCGCAGGAAGUCAUCCGAACCCUUCGGGGGGACGUUGACGGAAUGAGCGGCGGACGGGUGAGUAACACGUAAAGAACCUGCCCUCAGGUCUGGGAUAACCACGAGAAAUCGGGGCUAAUACCGGAUGGGUCAUCGGACCGCAUGGUCCGAGGAUGAAAGGCGCUCCGGCGUCGCCUGGGGAUGGCUUUGCGGUGCAUUAGCUAGUUGGUGGGGUAAUGGCCCACCAAGGCGACGAUGCAUAGCCGACCUGAGAGGGUGAUCGGCCACACUGGGACUGAGACACGGCCCAGACUCCUACGGGAGGCAGCAGUAGGGAAUCUUCCACAAUGGACGAAAGUCUGAUGGAGCAACGCCGCGUGAACGAUGAAGGCCCUCGGGUCGUAAAGUUCUGUUGUAAGGGAAGAACAAGUGCCGCAGGCAAUGGCGGCACCUUGACGGUACCUUGCGAGAAAGCCACGGCUAACUACGCG
RNAcentral lists this ribosomal RNA (508 nucleotides) under uncultured bacterium. RNAcentral describes it as "partial 16S ribosomal RNA". It matches the Rfam family "Bacterial small subunit ribosomal RNA", at positions 28 to 507 of the family's 1533-position model. The record is from RNAcentral.